RNAcentral lists this ribosomal RNA (253 nucleotides) under uncultured bacterium. RNAcentral's name for it is "partial 16S ribosomal RNA". It matches the Rfam family "Bacterial small subunit ribosomal RNA", at positions 524 to 776 of the family's 1533-position model. The record is from RNAcentral.
UACGGAGGGAGCUAGCGUUGUUCGGAAUUACUGGGCGUAAAGCGCACGUAGGCGGCUUUGUAAGUUAGAGGUGAAAGCCCGGGGCUCAACCCCGGAAUUGCCUUUAAGACUGCAUCGCUUGAAUCCGGGAGAGGUGAGUGGAAUUCCGAGUGUAGAGGUGAAAUUCGUAGAUAUUCGGAAGAACACCAGUGGCGAAGGCGGCUCACUGGCCCGUAACUGACGCUGAGGCACGAAAGCGUGGGGAGCAAACAGG